RNAcentral lists this small nuclear RNA (103 nucleotides) under Salvator merianae (Argentine black and white tegu). The record is from RNAcentral. Lineage: Eukaryota; Metazoa; Chordata; Lepidosauria; Squamata; Teiidae.
CUAUCUUCACUUUGGAAGUACUAAAAUUGGAACGAUACAGAGAAGAUUAGCAUGGCCUCCGUGCAAGGAUGACAUGUAAAUUCAUGAAGCAUUACAUAUUUUU